Erpetoichthys calabaricus (reedfish) is the source of this 11700-nucleotide long non-coding RNA. RefSeq lists it as uncharacterized. The transcript is spliced from 2 exons. The record is from RefSeq and is a predicted model, not a curated record. NCBI's taxonomy places the organism in Eukaryota, Metazoa, Chordata, Cladistia, Polypteriformes, Polypteridae.
GUUCCAGCAGCUUCCAGUUCACAUCAGACAUGUUUCUUGGUGGUUUUUUGAUUGUAUUUGACCAUCUGGCCAUCAUCUUUUCUCAGCUGUGGGUGACAAUUUGGGUCUUCUUCCAGACCUUAGCAGAGUGGCUGCACCUACAAAUAACUUUGUGGUCUGGAGGGGACACUCCAGCUCCCCAACACUCGACACAGACUGACGCUGGCACAAGUCUCUGCAAACAAAGACUUUUUAUUCUGCUGUGGGAAACUCUUCCCAAUCGUUUCUCACCACCAAAUCACAGUACAGUCAAUGCACACAGCACAUCAACUCUUUCCACUCUUUUUGUCCUUCACUUCAGCACCUCUCUCUGCCUCCACUCCUCCCAGCAAGCGUUGUCUUCUCUCCACCAACUCCGCCUCCUGGAACUGCAGCAGUGGGCUUCUUUUUUGUGACACUUGGGAGUACUUCUGGUGGCCCGUUAGCAUAGUCCAGAAGCACGUCUGGGUGAGGUGGGAACCCAACAAAGUAGGGCUCCCCAAGUCCCUGCAGCACCCCCUGGUGGCAUCCCCAGAACCCAACAGGGCUGAGUCCACAAACCCCCCAGUCCCAGCAAGCUGUGUGGGAAUCCGGAGUGCUGUAGCAACCCAGGGGGGCUGCCAUCUAGUGAUUCCGGGGGAGAUAAUGCCCAAUGCAUGCUCUCUCCCCAAGUCCUUCCGUUACGAGGGCGUCCCAGCUGGGUAAGGAUGCCACAACUUGUUGUUUGAACUAAUGAUCCUGGAAUCUGAAGCUGUUUAGAAGUGGCUCCAGGAGACCUCAGAGGACCUUUAUUGACUUGGGUAAAUCUGCUGUCCUCUUUCUCAAGUCUGCACUGAGCUCCUUGGACUUCCCCAUUGUAAUGAAUGUUGGUCAAUCCAAUGGGUGCCAUCAAACGGGCAACACAGAGAAGCUACCAGCUGGAGUCAAUCACGGUCACUAAUGAUGAAGUUAAAACACAUUUUGGAACCUAUGUUGGCCCCCGUAUGUACGACUGUGACCCUAUGAUGGUUUCGGUAACCCCACAAAAAACUUGUGCGCUACACUUCUGAUUUGUUUUUCUGUAACAAUGAUGUACAGUAUGUUGUACAGUCAUCCUACCACAGGGGAAGCACUGAAAAGCCAGCACUGCCCUGAUGUACAAGUCCAUUAAGCGAAUGGAUGGAAACUUUACAGCACUUCGGUAUGUUAAUCAACCAGCCUUUCAUAAGGUUAGGGUUGAGCAAGCAAGUGCACAAAGUGACCAGUAAAAUAAAUCAGAAUACUUUAUUAAUCCCAAAGGAAAUUACUUAGGCUACAACUGCACGGAUAAACAAAGGCACAAGUAACACAGACAGCAAAUAUUCAAAUCAGUACAUAAAGUAAAAUAAAAUCUAAAUAUCAAAAUACACUACAAUAAAUCCUCAUUCGCUAUGCUCUACAGGUACGCGGUGAAUUAAAUAUAAAAAAUACGAUACAUCAGAGUCUCAGAACCAAUUCCUUAGCUUACUAAACAGAACAGCACACCGAGUAGGAAGUAAUAUUGCGCAUACAGAUGAAAUAUCAAACAUUUUAAGAAACAAAAUACAAAAGACAGCUGCCUUCAACAGCCCACAGGAAGGAGGGCUUUACAGGGGUGGGGUGACAUGGCAGCAGAUGACAACUGUGCCACCACUCAGGAGUUCAGGCUGUACCCUGGUCCAUGAGUGGGCCACAGUUCUUCAUUCCAAGCCUUAAAAUGGAACGGAGCCCCACAGGCCUCUAAGGGGGUCCUGGGCAAAGGACCAUAACCUCAAACGUCCAGAACGGUGAGCUGGAGCCCCAGGUCUAGUAUUGCGCCACACGCCCAGAGCCCGGCUCAUAAGAGAUGGCAGGAAUGUAACUGGCUGCCCAUCAUUUCUACUGCUUGGCACAGGAAGCACAGGGUGGGAGGGGAGUCCAUGUGUUUAGACUUCACCCUGUGGAUCCUGCCAGUCACAAAGCUCAGUUUUAAUUAAUUUUUCAACUCAAUAAAUUUAAGAUUACUGUAAAAAUAUGAAGAAAAGGUACCAUUGUACCACUUCUACUGCUCCCUCAGCUUAGUCCAACAGUCCGUCAAGACCUGAGCCAAGCAUGGAGGAAAUCGGCAAAAAUCCACAUGUGAGGCUGACUGUGAUCACAAUUAAUACAAACUCAAUUUAAAAACAGCAGCUUCGUGUUUUUAUGAAGUAAUGAAAAUCGAUGUGAAAGUCGAGCUGUGUAGUAAAACUAGGUAGCCCAGGACAUGACCCCGCCCCAGUCUAGCCCCGCCCCUGCACCACCGAUGUGGGAGGAGCCUGAGCCUGACGGGCAGCACAUCAUUUACAAAAAAGAAAGUGAAAGCACACAGUUUGCACUCAUUUACUUCUAGGCAUUUGCUUUUUUAUUUCUUUUAACAAUUUCCGUAUGUAUGUGGCGACGUCUAAAGAAAAUGCACUGAUGCUCUAAGCUUGCAUGGCCUCAAUGCGUAAGGAGUGAAAUAAAAACAAGAAAACAAAAAAGUACAUUAUAACACAGUGAGUGUGGCAGCAGCUUGUGCGAGCAUAAAACCCACAAGAGUGGGCGCCAUGACUUACCCGGCGAGGUGGACAUGCGCUCCUGCAGUGAUCCCCUCUCGAGCAGUAGUUACCUUUUGGGGCUGUGAAGGAAAGCCCCCCCACCUUGUUUCAUGAUGUCUGAGAUUGUAAGCAGUCUUCCCAUGAAGCCAGAGCCAGUGAAUUCCUUCCUUAGCCCCCUGCCUUGUCCGCCGUUUCUUUCUCCUUUCUGUGGCCACUCACUCUGGGUGGCUGAGUCAUCGUCCCGCGCACCAACUCAUCUGUCAUAAGUGUGCCCUCUCUGUUGCCUGCUGCCUUGCCCUGUCACUUGCAGCACCACAAUGAAGGAUGCAAAGGGGGUCUACACACAUUCAUAGAAUGCGAAGGCUUGUGCUGCCUACAGAGGGGGCAGAGUUGCCCUGCUGUGCCAAGGGUACUGUCAUGUGUUCAGGGUCAAAUGACAUUCAAAACACACACACAUACACGCAAACCUUAGAACCCGUGGUGGGAGAAAUAAAUGUUCUACACAUCGACAUUUUGCGUAUUUCCAAAACAGCUAUGCCAUGAAAUUUAAUCCAGACAUUGGAAACAACUCGGUAAAAUGACACAGCCAGAGAAAUCGUAACAUUCCAAUCCAUAAAGAAGUUAUGUACAGGAAAGUGGAAUGACACAGGAAGAAGCAGCCGAUUCCACCGACGUGUUCUCCUACCUGUGCUGGGUCAGUCAGAACUUCCACUCUUUGGGAAAGGGUUACUCACCUCGGAAUGAAAGAUAACUAAUCAUUUGUUAUCAAGCGUUCCUACAAGAAACAUCUCAUGAUGGGUUGAGGCUAAGAGCUCUCCCAGGACCUUCACAAGGUUGUUGAGCAAUGUGGCAAUGGCACUGCUCACUGACAGAGUUCUUAACUCCUUUCAAUGUUCCUAAUGGCACUCCAGGGGCAGCACUUGGUAGGAACAUCACUCACUCCACCAUCAACUGGCCAUGCACAGGAGCUCCUUGCAAUAUUUCCAACCAGCUAGUCAAACAUUAGUCAGAAUAGUAGCUCAAGAGCCAAGGAGACCUAUCAGAAGGAGCCCCAGGGAGGCCUGGAAGCAGCAGGUACUGUCAUCACAAAGAUGACUAUUGACAUUGCUCUCCACCAUCAUGGUCUGCAUGCACAAUCACCCCAGAAGACUCCAUUACUGAAGAAAAGACAUGUUGAUGCUCGUGUGAAGUUUGGAGAAGACUGUAGAACACUGACAGAAUUUAGUGUGGCCAGACAGAACAAAAAUUUUUGGCAGCAAUGUAACACACCAUGUUUGAAGAAAACACGGCUCUGCCUACGACCCUAAAAAUACCAAAUCUGCUGUGAAGUUCGGAGGGGGAAGCAUCAAGGUGUGGGGCUGUUUCUCAUCUCAUGGUAACAGAGGAGUUCAAUUUAUCACAGGAAAGAUGAAUGGAGAAAUUCAAGAGAAGACUCUGUUGCCAUCCACCAAGACGAUGAGGAUGAGACGUGCAGGACAAUGAUCCUAAAGAGGCUGCAAAGGAGAUGCUCGAGUGGUUCCUGAGGAAGAAGACAAAGCUGUCGGAACGGCCCAGGCAAUCAGCAGACGUACAUCUAAGAGAAAGAACAUUUGAGGAAGGAACUGAAGAUUAGGAUUAACCAGCAGGCCCCGGAAUCUUCAAAAUGUAAGGACCGUCUGUGUAGAAGAAUGGGACAAAAUCCCACCAAAACGCUGUGAGAGACUCCUUCCUUCCAUUUGAAGCUCUCAUUGCAAACAAAGGUUUCUUCACUAAUUUCAGUUAGCAUGAUCAACACUUUUUCCCUGUUUCGUUGCCAUUUUAUGUAUUGGAUUGUUACAAGAUCUUUGCCUUAUUCAUUUGAUUGAUUUUGUAACAAUGGCUGGAUGUAUGUUUAAUGAGAAAAAUGUUGAUGUGUUGAAUACUCAUCUCCAUCACUGUAUGUGAUGCCAGGCUGCUGCUUUGUGGUCUUCAUUGCAUACAGUUGUUUGGGCCUAUAAGACAACCAAAGUGAUAAGAGAAGAGCAAACAGAAAGGAAGCCAAGAUGUAGUUGUAACCUAAAAAGCAAAGAAACAAUAACACAAUCGGAGCGUGAGCAUGAGAAACAAAGAGAAGAGAAGGAACUUGAUGAAGAAGAAGAGCACAAAGUCUGAGCAAGGGGGCUAACAUGAACACAGCUGGCUUAAGACGGGCACAUACCAUGCAAUUUUAAGCCCAAUUUCUAGUCACGUUGUUUUACAUCCAUCCAUCCAUUUUCCAACCCGCUAAAUCCGAACACAGGGUCACGGGGGUCUGCUGGAGCCAAUCCCAGCCAACACAGGGCACAAGGCAGGAACCAAUCCCGGGCAGGGUGCCAACCCACCGAAGCAUUGCUUUACAUGUGGUAUGAAAGGAGAUGCGACUCCUGAUUGCAUCUUAUGAUUGAGUUGUUAUACAAUCGGGAGAAUUUCUGCCAUGUUAGAAAGUUCAGUCGGCUGUCUUGUAGUGCGAGUCGUCUCACCUUCAAAUUUCGUAAAGUUCAACGUGUAGCGACUGCAGCGAAAGUGCGUGUGGCAAGAAUAAGAACAACAGGCAUGGCAGGAGGAACACGUGCUGUGUGGACAGCAAGCAUGGCGGCCUGAUGUACCGAGCUCUAGCAGCAAAACUACUGCCUAAACAACGUAUCGUGGCAGGACAUUGCGCAUUGGCCAUUGCUGUUAUCAAACUCUCUUCCACUUUUUUGAUCUCAAAACGUUAACUAUCACGUAGCAGCACACAUUCAACUAAAUGGCCAAUGAUAAAAUGUUUCUUGGGAAACGCUUGUUGGAAGACCCCCAGACAAGCUCACCAUUUGUAAAUUAGAUAGAUUACCUCCAAUUUGUACCUAUGUAAAACAGUCCGUAUUGUCCGUGCCUUGCCAGCCAUCCGUGUGCCCAGUUCCCCUUUUUUUCAGUUUCAGAGCACAGUACGGCAGGAGGCAGUAAUGCAGCUCUUUCCUUUGUUGACAUUUUGAGACGUCUGUGGCCAUAUUGAAUGGGCAAAGCUUUAAGUGCAAACUCUCAAUGGGUAAAACUCUCCAUAUACACAUAUAGUCUGAGCAACAGCGCUGUGGUGUGUCAUUCGGCCCAAGCGUGUUUGUACAGUUUGAGCAAACACCCAACUAUCUUUCUGUAUGUGUAAUCGCUUGAUCACAAUUUCUAAAAACGCCCAGCCGUAACUAUUCACUCAUUGAGGUAAAGGGCUGAUGGCGCUCCUAAGGCCCGUGAAGCAUUGCCUGGCAACAAAUGAUACAACUUGUGACAAGAGUGAAAGUUACAGCAAAUUAAAGCUCUAUGUUCUUGGGGACAAGUUAAUAGGCGGGACCAUGAAUAGCCAAUCACAAGCCAGUACACACAGUUGGGACAGGGAGACUUGGAAAGGUUUUAACAAGAAAGGUCUUCACCGAUUAAACUGUUGUAAAGGAAAAUUGAAGUAGCAGCAAGACCCGAAAAAGAAUCAAACAAUUGAGAAGUGGGUGGCAGUUGACGCUUGAAAAUCCUUUCUCAGUAUGGGAUAUUCUGUUCUGUUGCAAUAAGAAGAAACAGGCUGUGCAUUUUUGUGGAGUUCACCAGUGAUACCAGUCUGUCUUGUCAUGGUAGCUCCUAGGGAUGCCCGACAGGAUGUUACUACAUCUGUGAAGGCUGAUUCUUCUUAUGAGGGCUUGAGAGUGCUUCACAUCUUCUCUAACAUUAUCCUUGGUGUAUUUACAGCAAAAUUCAGUGGAAAUGGGCAGAAGUUUGGAUGGGGGUGCAUGCCCACAAGACAAAGAUCUGCAGAGAGCCCCCUGAACCUAGAGAAGGAUUCAGACUGGACAGGCUUCCCCUCACCUUUUUAAGGCCACCCUAGUAUAAGUCCACCCCAUGAAGUGCAGGGUGUCAUGAAUUCUCAGUCACCCAGUAACCCCAUCAAUCCACAAUUUGUGCAGGUCCUAGUCUGCUGCAAGGAGCUUAACUGUGGGAAAUCCUGUGAGUUGUGAUCAGACAUCCUGUCGGAGACUCAUUAGCGUUCAGGGAGCCAAACUUCAUGAGUCGCCAUCAAAUGAUGAGAAUAGGACUGAUCCAAUCAAAUGGAGUAAUAUCAAAGUAUCGAAGACGUGAAGUUGGUCACUGGUGAAUGCGGACAUUAGCACCAUUAGGUGGAAUGAGUCCCCAUUGAAAGAUGAGCGCACAACUGUUUCAAAAGAACGAGUCACUACUAGUCAGUGAAGAGGGUAGCCCUGUUUCCAUAUAAUGUGUUCUUAUCAAAGCACAAGUGUAGUCCUGUUCCUGUAGAUUGUCACUACUCAAUGGUGAAGGUAACACACUGUGGAUGGUGGUACUGAUCAUAUGAAAUGAGUCUCUAUCAAACCAUCACUAUCAAAUGGUGGGACCUUUUCCAUGGAACAAGUCACUAUUGAAUGAUGAGGGUAGCACUGAUCACAUGAAAUGAGGGACCAUUGAAGAAUGAGGGUAGGACUGCUUCAGUGGAACCAAUGGGUUGCACUGCUCCCAUAUAAAGAAUUGCUAUCAGAAGAUGAGGGUAAUACUGGUCUAGCACAAUGAAUUGGUAUUGAACGGUGAGGAUAGCAUUGACCCCAUAGAAAGAGAAACCAUUUAAAGGUGAGGGUAGGACUGUUUCAAUGGUGUGAGUCAUUAUUCAGUAAAGAAGGCGACAAGGUUCCUGUAGAAUGUGUUGCUCUUCAAUGACGAGGAGUGGCAGUGCUCACGAGGAAUGAGUCACCAUCGAAACACGAGGGUAGUGUUAGUGGAACAAGUCAGUAUUCAAUAAAGUGGAUAACAUUGAUCAUGUAGAAAGAGUUGCUAUCAAAAGAUGAAGGUAGCAUCGAUAGCAUGGAAUGAGUCAAUGUUAGUACUGACCAUGUAGAGUAACUCCCCACCGAGUGUCGACAGUAGCACUGAUCACAUAGAGUGAGUGAUUAUCAAGAGAUGGGAGUUGCACAGUUCCUGUAGAACGUAUUGGUAUUGAAUGAUGAGGAUAGCACUUAUCACCUGGAAUGAGCCACCAUGAAGUAUUGAGGGUAGGAUUGUGGGAAUAGAACGAGUUACUAUUCAGUACAGAGGGUAACACUGAUCAGGUAGAAUGAGACGUUAUCAAACGAUCAAUAGCAUCGAUGACGUGAAAGGAGACAGCAUCAAGUGCUGACGGUAGCAAUGUUCCUGUAGAAUGUACAGAAGGAGGAGGGUAGCAUUGAUGGUGUGCAAUGAGUUGCCAUUUAAUCCUGAAGGUAGGGAUGUGUCAUCAAUGAAGAGGGUAACUGAUCAUAUACGUAGAGUGAGUUACUAUCAAACAAUGAAGGUAGCAUUGAUCAUGUGGAGUGAAUCACCUUCAAAUAUUGACAUAAGUAUGGAGCACAUGACUGUGUCACCAUCAAAUGAUGAAGUUAGCAUUAAUUCAUUGGAUUGAGUCACUAUUCAAUUAGACAGUAGCACUCCAGAAGGCGUAGCUAUCAAACGAUGAGACAAGAACAGGCCUUUUGGCCCAACAAAAGUCGCCAGUCCUAUCCACUUAAUUCUUCUAAAAUAACAUCAAGUUGAGUUUUGAAGGUCUCUAAAAUCCGACUGUCUACCACUCUUUGCUUAGUCACUUAUUUCAUGUGUCUGUGGUUCUCGGUGUGAAGGGAAACGUCCUAACAUUUGUGCGAAAUUCACCCUACUGUGUCCCUGUGUUGGGACGCAAGGUGGCUUAUGGAAUGAGUCUCCUCUGAAUGGCGAGGGUAGGACUAUUUGAGUGGAAUGAGAUGUUACUUAAAGAAGUGGGUAGUACUGCUCACAUGGAACAAGUCACCAUCAAAUGUGACCAUAUGGCAGGAGCCUCUAUCAAAUGACAAAGAUAGGAUUAUGUCGAUGGAACGAGUCACUGCUCAGUGAAGAGGGUGGCACUGAUCCCAUAGAAUCAAACAAUGAGGAUUGCAUUGACCACAUGGAAUGAAUCUCCAUCGAAUGUCAGUGGUAGAAGAGACUGUGUAGAGUGAGUUGUUACCAGAAGGUCGGGGUAGCACUGUUUCCAUGGAGCGAGUCGGAAUUGUAUGGUAAGAGUAGUACCGAUCACGUGGAACGAAUCGUAAUCGAAUGAUAAGAGAUCUGCCAUUGAAAAAGGUCACCAGUGAACAAUGACGGUAGCAUGGAUUUGGUAAAAUGAACUGCCAGGGCAUAGACAGAGAUCCUCCUCAAAAGGAAACGGUUGCACCAAUCCUGUCCAAAGCGAGCCAGAACUUUGCUUCCCUGAGUCACAUUAUUUAUUUCCCCUAACCGGAUUAAUGUCCCCCUGGGACUGAUCUCUUUCAGUUUUCCGCCCUGUCAUAGUCAUAGUGCCCCCUUCAGGACGCAGCAGGCAACACAGAGGAACUCAUUUCAUUUUGUCCAAUCAGUUUGCUCUUUCCUGUCAAUAAGACCCACUGCCGCUUUGAGAUCAUGCUGGAGACAUGUCGCUGUAUUACACAUCCGUAACUCUGGUGCUUCCCCCAUCCCGCUGCCCUUUCUCUGAGCUGAUGAAAAAUCUAUCUACAUAUAUAAAUAUUUAUAGUUUGUAUCGAUACGUUUGUUUUUGGUUCUUUUUUUACAUUUUGCACAAAGUACUGAGUACUGAAAGGUGCUGUAAAAAUAAAUAAAUAAAUGAAUAUCAAAAGUGAAAAUGUUGAAGCAGCAGGCUCCAAAAAAAAAAACAGAAGGAUUAGGAAACUUGCCGUUUGUGUGAAAAGUGUCCGUAUGCGUGUGGAGUUUUUAAAACGUAGGAGUAGAGGCCACCGUCUUACGCCAUAUUUGCCAAAUAGAAAACGCCCUCAGCCGAUUUAUUUAUUUAAUUUUUUCCAUUGGAGCUUUAAGGCCGCUCGAUCUACCUCUCCAGCAGUCCCACAGGAGCGUGGCCACGUCAGACAUAUGUUGGCCACAGCGAUUCUGGACAGGUAGGUGUGAUGCGAGCUUUAGGUGGCACCAGGGGGGCCGACGCUAGUUCUGUGGCUGGUGAUUACGCCUGUAGUUUGUCUGUAGCCGUAGUGUCGAGGCAUUUUUGGAGCCUGCUGUAGCAGUGAUCGUCUGACUGCUGCGUGCGUGUUUGUGUGUUCAAGACUGGGAGGAAUUAUUGCGAGAGGUUGGACAAAUCCACAUGUGGGGGAAAUCCUGCAAGGGUCCACCAUGUCACACAGGUAACCCGGCUUCAGCCACGGCACUGUGCAAGAAGCCGCAGGACCAAAUACGUUCUUCUUGAUCCACCCCGUUCUCUCCUCUUGUUGUCCCAAGACUAGCGCCACUGCAGAAUGGACACGGCCGGCCUUGGUGGUCUAACGAUUCAGCACUGGGUCUACCAGACCAGCCACCUCAGCUCUGGCUAAGAAUGUCAUGGAUCAGCCGUUAGAGGAAGUGACACACUCGGCUACAGCUACGGGAAAAAUGUUAAGGACACAUCCUGGGUACUCCUAGGAGAGACCUGUCACCCCAACGCCACCUACAAUCAUGAGUGGAAGCAUCUGUAAGGAGAAGACGCAGCUCAGUUACACCAAGAGUCAGACGAGAAGAGAGAGGGACACACUCGGCUACAGAUUGGAGGAAUAAGUGGGGAAAAUAUCCAGACUGGUCAGCCCAACAAUCAUGAGAAGAUACAUCUGUGGGGUGAAGAAUUAGCUCGACUGCAGCUAGAGGCCGGGGGUGAAGACAGAGUGACCAAAGUGGCUACAAUUAGGAAGAAUCCAUUGUAGAAAUAUCAGAGAUACUCCUAAGCUCGGUGACAGUGGUGAUCAGCAGCUUCUUCAUAAACAGCUCAACUACAUCUCGGGGGGAUCGUUAUGGACACAUCUCCCCCAAUACUCCUAGGCCAUGCUGACCAGCGUUCCUAUGCCGAGGAUCCCGUGCUUAGAGACAUCUCCCGUAGACCCCAGUGGCUUGCGCCGCCAUAAGAAUGAACGACGUAACAGAGACCGCGGGAUUACAUCGGCCUGUGGCUCUGUUUGAGGAGAUUUUCAGAACAAUUAGCGACAACCUCUGGCAGAAUCAUGUGGAAUAAUCAGGGAUGGAAAUCUCUCCGCAGCAAUAGCCGGGUCAUGUGAAGCGAGACUGUGGGAAGCCAUCUUGGAUGUGAUAAUCCGCGGAGCUCAAACACGACUACACUCAGUUUUGGUUUUGCUACAGAAUUCUGAACUUGUCAGCAGGCUCCACCUCACGAUGGCUUUUCCAGCUUCAAAGACUAUGCCAUUGAUUUUAAACAAUUCUUACUGUUUACCUCAAAAUAAUCAUCAGCAUGUUAAAGGUUUUGUUUAAUUUCUGUAAACAAUUUCAGCAUGAAAUUUUCAAAAUAUGCAAAAAUCAUGCGGCUUAACACCCACAAUGAAACCAGAAAAUUUGUUUGGAGUUUUUAUACACUUAAUGAGUGGGUGGGAAACCCGACAGGACAAAGCGAUGGCGGCGGCACAAGGACUACGACUAGAAAACGGGAGAAGGAACGGAGUGCCAGCCAAGCCAUGAACCUUGUGAGGCGGCAGAGCCACCCGUCCACCUCCGGCUGAGACUUGGCAUGUGUGGGCCGUGGGGUUUGCCCCCCGCGAGGUCAGAAAUUCACGUUCAGUUAACGUAUGGUGAUUUACGGGGCCCUUACAGAAUUUCUCCCAUAUAACUGAAUGACGUGGAUUUAGAUGCGAUUUUUAAAAAAAAUAAACAAAAUGCUUUUUCUUAACUACUCGGUCUCAUUGCUCUGGGCCUGUGCGCGUGUUGCCCGCCAUGUUUUUCACAAUUUUUACAGUUCUUUCCUUUCAUUCCUAUUUAAAUUUGAUGAAGACUUCAGUCCUUCCUCUGCUGUUUUCAUUUGGAGCUGCCCAACGACGGGCCGUGCUCCCUCAAUCUUGCACAUGAAGUCCAAAAUGAUCGAAUAUCGUGUCGUCUUUUCCUUGCCUGCGCUGUUCUUUUUGUAAAUGUGUGUUGGAAAAUGAAGUGAAUCUGCUCAAGAGAUCAAAUCUCAAAUUGUUCUUUCUGGAAUGCUUUUUUUAAAAAAUAAAUAAAAGGAAAAAAAAAGGGAAAAAAAAAGAAAAGAAAAGAAAAGAAAUUACCUUUCAAGUGAAUGACAUGGAAAUCCGUUGAACUUUUAACAUUAGGUCCUGAAAUAUUUUUUAGUUCAUUUUUGGAAAAGAAAUAAAUGCUGUUACUCCCUUCA